UCCCUGGUGGCUCUGAUGGUAAAGCGUCUGCCUGUAAUGCAGUAGACCUAGGUUUGAUCCCUACAUGGGGAA
Molecule: transfer RNA, 72 nt
Filed under: Bos taurus (domestic cattle)
Lineage: Eukaryota; Metazoa; Chordata; Mammalia; Artiodactyla; Bovidae
Also listed under: 1 other name
Rfam family: tRNA
About the family: Transfer RNA (tRNA) molecules are approximately 80 nucleotides in length. Their secondary structure includes four short double-helical elements and three loops (D, anti-codon, and T loops).
Source: Rfam by way of RNAcentral